UACGUAGGGUGCGAGCGUUAAUCGGAAUUACUGGGCGUAAAGCGUGCGCAGGCGGUUCGUUAAGUCAGAUGUGAAAGCCCCGGGCUCAACCUGGGAACUGCAUUUGAAACUGGCGGGCUUGAGUGUGGCAGAGGGGGGUGGAAUUCCGCGUGUAGCAGUGAAAUGCGUAGAGAUGUGGAGGAACACCGAUGGCGAAGGCAGCCUCCUGGGCCAGCACUGACGCUCAUGCACGAAAGCGUGGGGAGCAAACAGG
Molecule: ribosomal RNA, 253 nt
Filed under: uncultured bacterium
Lineage: Bacteria
Description: partial 16S ribosomal RNA
Rfam family: Bacterial small subunit ribosomal RNA
Source: RNAcentral